This 555-nucleotide ribosomal RNA is filed under the name Salmonella enterica subsp. enterica serovar Wangata. RNAcentral describes it as "partial 23S ribosomal RNA". It matches the Rfam family "Bacterial large subunit ribosomal RNA", at positions 711 to 1262 of the family's 2925-position model. The record is from RNAcentral. Lineage: Bacteria; Pseudomonadati; Pseudomonadota; Gammaproteobacteria; Enterobacterales; Enterobacteriaceae.
AGACCCGAAACCCGGUGAUCUAGCCAUGGGCAGGUUGAAGGUUGGGUAACACUAACUGGAGGACCGAACCGACUAAUGUUGAAAAAUUAGCGGAUGACCUGUGGCUGGGGGUGAAAGGCCAAUCAAACCGGGAGAUAGCUGGUUCUCCCCGAAAGCUAUUUAGGUAGCGCCUCGUGAAUUCAUCUCCGGGGGUAGAGCACUGUUUCGGCUAGGGGGCCAUCCCGGCUUACCAACCCGAUGCAAACUGCGAAUACCGGAGAAUGUUAUCACGGGAGACACACGGCGGGUGCUAACGUCCGUCGUGAAGAGGGAAACAACCCAGACCGCCAGCUAAGGUCCCAAAGUCAUGGUUAAGUGGGAAACGAUGUGGGAAGGCCCAGACAGCCAGGAUGUUGGCUUAGAAGCAGCCAUCAUUUAAAGAAAGCGUAAUAGCUCACUGGUCGAGUCGGCCUGCGCGGAAGAUGUAACGGGGCUAAACCAUGCACCGAAGCUGCGGCAGCGACGCUUAUGCGUUGUUGGGUAGGGGAGCGUUCUGUAAGCCUGUGAAGGUGGCCU